Molecule: long non-coding RNA, 2948 nt
Organism: Monomorium pharaonis (pharaoh ant)
Lineage: Eukaryota; Metazoa; Arthropoda; Insecta; Hymenoptera; Formicidae
Exons: 2
Source: RefSeq, a predicted model, not a curated record
GAAAUCUAAAAGACAUAUAUCUUUUUGUCUAUAUGAUACCUUUUUUUUAUUGUCGUUAAACAAAAACCUGUGUUUAAAAAUUUGUCACGCGAACAAGAAAGAUCAUAAUUAUGACGAUUAAUGUGAUUGAAUUAUUACUCCCUCAUUAUUUUUAUGAUCCAAAACUUGCCGAUGGAGAGUGCGCGAAAUGAUACAGCGCAAAAGUAACAGAAACAAAUGUCACUUCUAAACAAACGUCCAACUGUUAAAUCAUUCUUGAUGACAUGAAUCAAAAAAAAAAUUCCGCUUGAAAAAGAUACGAUCUGUGAAAUCCAUCGACGUGCGUAAUGUCAUAAUUCGAGUUUUGGAUGUAUACGUCACUAAAGACUAUUUGUUUCCGCUUGCAUCGGGAAAUAUGAAGUAACUGACCCGGUGAGUCAGAGAGAGAUAUAACGUAUACGCAAAGUUCUUGCCAUUUAAGAUAUUAAUCACCGUUUGACCGAAUUGCGGUUAGCGCCACUUUAUUUCUUGUUGUUUCCUAAUAUCUAUCAUAUUUUCAGAGUUGUAAGAAAUUUUCUGUCCUCAAUUAGCAAAUCUCAAAAGCACAUCUAAAAAAACGCAAGACAGUCGAAUCUUAUCUAUAACUCAAUAGUCGCGAUGUUUAACGAAAGGAUCGUGUAACAUUCUUUAUCGCAGUAUUGUAUUAUUCAUAAUUAAAAUGCUGAAAAAAUGCCUAAUGUAAGAUAGCUAUAUACCGCCGGUUUGUCGUGAUACGACAAUGAUUAUAUUUCUCCAUUUUUAUUUUGCGCUGUCACACGAGCGAUUUAUCGCAAGACAUUAAAAAGAAGGAGAACUGAUAAAAAAAAUCCAUUCGUUUCCUUGCAUUCGAGAACUUAGAACACCAAAACUCAAGAGCACCAAGAACACACCGUUAGUUUUACAUUUUUGGGAAAAGCAUAUUCUCUAAAUUUCAUAAAGUAAAACAUUGCACAAGCAGUAGAGUGACAUUUCUACAAAAUUUAGAAAUAUAACACUUGUGUAACAAUUAUGAAAGUACAAACGUAAUAAAAAUGUGAAUAUAAAUGUAAUAAUGCGACUGCCAAUUGUGAAUAUGAAAAUCUAAUAACUAUUAAUUACAAAUUAAAAUAAUAUCAAAUUACGACAAUAAUUGUUUAAAACGCUUUUAAAAAUUAGAUAUCAUUUAAUUAUUUUAAACAACAUAAAUAAUCAGAUAACAAUAUAAAGUAAAAAAUAUACAAUUUAUAUCAUCCAUGAAGAUAAAGCCUUAUCUCAUAUUACGUCUCUUAUUAUAUUUUAUCACUAUAUAUUUAUAAUAAAGUUUUCCGUAAAGUAUCAAAAAUUGUUAGGCAAUGUGUUAACGUUAUUCGUCAUUAACGGAAAGUAAAAUUAAUAUGCGAAUUACAUCCUUCUUCGUCAAUUAACUUUGUCAUAUCCGCGUUAAUGACGCGUUGUACACAAUCGCAUAAAAUAGACGAAGCAAACGGAAUUCCGUCAGAGGGAUUAUCUACAUGUUUCAUACAUAAUUCUAAUCGAUACCGCUGUGUUGUUCCGCAUACGUAAUUAAUCUUAUUCAUCGGGUAAUAUUUCACAGUCGAAGAACACUUCAGUGUCCACAAGUUUUACACGUACAGUAAAAAAGAAUGCAUAAUUCCAAUAAUCCCAAGUGCAAUUCUAAAGCUAUAUUCUUAUUAACAAUAGCAAAAAUAAUUAAUUUAACUGUAUAUUUGUAGCAUUUAUUAAUAUUUUGAUCACAAUGUACUUGAAUUUUUUCUACGAAGUUCGGGGAAAAUCUUCGUGUCUGCCUUUAUUGGGACGAUAACUUUUCCAAUCCUUGAAUCAAGAGGAAGAGGCAAAAACAUCGCGAUAGAUACUAUCCUUAUUCAUUAAAAGCUACUCCAAUAUCUAUAAUAAAAUAAAUAAAGAAAUGUUCCGAAACGGUUGUAAUCAUUGCAUCGGCAGCUCUCUUUACAAUGUAGUUGAACUAAUCUAACAAUGGAGAAUAAUAUUGCGGAAUACAAUUGGUUAUAAAGAACUCAGAAUUAUCUGAUGCAAUUUUAUAAAUUGAAUGUAUUAAAGCAUUUUCUAUUUAUACCUUUACAAAGCGUGAAAUACGUAAUGACAUCUCGCUGCACCUAUCAAGAGAUCUUGCAAAUAGGGUCGCAAGAGAGCUUUCACGUGGAAUAACUUUAAUGCAAAUUGUCUUCAUUACGCGUCUUGCUCGCGAUCUAUUUUGCGAUAAAUCCGUUCGAUACACACGAGUCAUUAAAUCGGAUAAUAAAUGGAAAAAGAGAUUAAAAAAUAUUUAAUCCUUGACGCAAGUCAACACGAAGGUUUCCUAUUUUAUAACGCAAUAUUUAGAAAAUAUCGGACAAACUGUAUUUUAAAGGAAAAAUAACUUGAAAAAAGUAUGUAUUCUUUUUCUAUUUCAAAAUUAUAUGUUUAUUUAUAGGAAAAUUUUUAUAAAUGAGGAAUUAAACUUUCAUCCCAAAGCUGUUGAAUUUCAGAAGAUUCACCCAGUAUUCUUCUAAAAUAAAAGUUGAAUGGAGUUAACAAUCAUAUAAUUUGCUCGGAAAAAAGUAUAUAUAUACAUAUAUAUAUAUUUAUAAUAAAAUCACAAAAUUACGACACAUCUUACUUUAUUAAGUCACGUUAUUAAUAUCAAUAAAAGAAAUACUGUUUCAAAUUUGUCAUAUUAUGUUUUUAAAUUUAUAAUUUAACAAAUUAGCAUUUUAAAUAUCUAAAAAUAUCAACAUUAAAUAAUGUCAUUAAAUGUCUAAAUUAUCAUGUAUCUAAUGAGCAUGUUGUCUUCUUAUAACGUGGAAGAGAUCCAAAAAGAUUUUAAAAAUUUAUAUUUGUACUAUUUUAAUUAUUAAAAACAUAAUAAUUUAUAUCUUUCGUAUAAUAUAUCUAUCAUAUGUAUAUUGAUUCAUUAACUUAACGAAAGACUG